Quercus robur (English oak) is the source of this 1138-nucleotide long non-coding RNA. RefSeq lists it as uncharacterized. Lineage: Eukaryota; Viridiplantae; Streptophyta; Magnoliopsida; Fagales; Fagaceae. The transcript has 3 exons. The record is from RefSeq and is a predicted model, not a curated record.
UUGAAUAGAAGUAGAUGUUUUGGGGCUGAACCCAAAAAAUGAGGUGAUGAGUGCACUGCUUUCCUGAUUCUUUCUAUCUCUCUCCAUCUAUUGUUUGUUCACAAUAUUAUGUCUUGCUAUUCUUGGUCAUGAUAUUGAUUUAUCACUUGUAGCAAAAUUCAAGGCAUUUUUUUUUAUGUUGUUUUUUGUUUAUUAUGUUUUUUAAGAUUAUUGUUGAAUUUAUCCAGGUCAUGAAAUUGAUUUUUCCAACAUUGGACUUUGUUGUCUCGCUGAUUGACUUGAGGCAUUGAUCUAUUUUUGUGUUUUGUUACAAUCCUCGAAUACACUUGGUUGAUACUGAUUAAUAUGUUGAGAAUCAUAGAUCAUGUAGUUGAUUCCAUUGACAUGAGUCUGUUUGAGACUGUAUUGUUUUAUAUAAGUAUUUGUGAAUGUAUUGUUGAGGAAGACAACAAUCUUUUUUUUUUAAGCAAGCCAAGUUGGAUCUUGAAUGUCUUGAAGCAUGUACUAUAUAAUGCCUUUCUUAUAAUUUGGAAAGUGAGUUGCACAAUUUUUAAGAGGAACUUUUCCUCUCUUUAUCUCUUCUGAAAGAAUUGUUGUAAUUUCCUGUCCUAGAAGGAUAACAGCUACAACAUUAAGUGGAUUAUAAUAAUCUGUGAUAUGUUGAGAAGUCAUGAUCCUCGUAGGCUGAAAAUAUGUAUUGUAAAAGGUGAAGGUGAAGAUGGAGAUGAUGAUGAUGAUGAUGAAGAAGAAGAAGAAGAAGAAGAUGGAAAUGAAGACGAAUGAGUAUGAAGAUGAAGGUGUAUCAUCUUUAGGCAAUAUUGAAUAUGACAAUGCAGAUAUGUUUGGGGAUGAAAACGAUAGUGAAUACGACGAUGAUAAUGAAGAAUUCAAACCAGAUGAAGUUGACUCUCUAUAUCUUGCUUAGAACCUUAGCCUUCUUGCUUAGAACCUUAGCCUUAUAGGUGAUAAACAUGCUCUUGAAGAAUUGUGCUCAAUGUAGCAAUUUUGAAUUUACUAUGGAUGCAAUCUGUUGGUUUUUUUUAUCUAAUACUUUUUACUAAUUAUAGGAUUAAGAAUUUUAUGUAAAUAGUUAUAACUUUUCUCCAUCUAAAUAUUUGAGAUUGCACAGGAUGCAAUU